This is a long non-coding RNA of Brassica rapa (field mustard), 745 nucleotides long. RefSeq lists it as uncharacterized. Lineage: Eukaryota; Viridiplantae; Streptophyta; Magnoliopsida; Brassicales; Brassicaceae. The record is from RefSeq and is a predicted model, not a curated record.
UCUUGUUCGUUUACCUAUCGCUGUACGAGCGAUCAAACGCGGCGGCUAAUCGCUAGCGGCAGCGACAAAGAUUUUCAAUCGCUAUUUUUUCCAGCGUUUGUUUUAUUAUUUUAAUAAUGAACCCAUUAAAUGACAAUGUUACCCUUGGUUUUUAAAUGAAACUACUAAUGAAUCUAAACCUAAACGUAAUAUUUUUUAUAAUUCUCUUGUCGCCGUCAAGCUAUAACGAUUCUCAAUCCUCCACUUUGAUUCUCUCUCGUGGCCAAGCUUGUUGGGUUUCUCAGUACUCCACUUCGAUUCUCUCUCGCGGCCAAGGAGCUUCGAGCCGCGGCCAAGCUUGUCGGUUUUCUCUCUUACGGUUUUAGGAGGAAUCACUCUUAAACAAGGAUGUCAAAGUUGACUAAUGACAACUGGACCGAUGAGGAAUGUCGUUUCUUUUUUCAACUGUUCUUGGAAGAGAAAAAAAGGGAAACAAAACAAGGAAUGGAUUGAAUCAAACUGCAAAGGAGUUCAUUGUGAAGACAUUUGAAGAGAAAUACGGAGAGAAGCAUAUAUGGGACAGAUUUAAGAACAAGUAUGAUACUUGUAGAAGGGUUUACGUAAGCGUUAAGAAGCUGAUUCAUAACAGAACUGGAAUGGGCUAUGAUGAUAUGGGAAGAAUAAACAUGUCUGAUGAUUGGUGGCAAGAACGCAUAAAGGAAUGGCCUGGAGCUAGGAAAUACAAAAACAAGCAUGUUCCUAAUAU